RNAcentral lists this ribosomal RNA (433 nucleotides) under uncultured bacterium. Its description in RNAcentral is "partial 16S ribosomal RNA". It matches the Rfam family "Bacterial small subunit ribosomal RNA", at positions 29 to 507 of the family's 1533-position model. The record is from RNAcentral.
AACGAACGCUGGCGGCAUGCCUAACACAUGCAAGUCGAACGAGACCUUCGGGUCUAGUGGCGCACGGGUGCGUAACGCGUGGGAACCUGCCCUUAGGUUCGGAAUAACUCCCCGAAAGGGGUGCUAAUACCGGAUAAUGUUUUCGGACCAAAGAUUUAUCGCCUUUGGAUGGGCCCGCGUUGGAUUAGCUAGUUGGUAGGGUAAAAGCCUACCAAGGCGACGAUCCAUAGCUGGUCUGAGAGGAUGAUCAGCCACACUGGGACUGAGACACGGCCCAGACUCCUACGGGAGGCAGCAGUGGGGAAUAUUGGAUAAUGGGCGAAAGCCUGAUCCAGCAAUGCCGCGUGAGUGAUGAAGGCCUUAGGGUUGUAAAGCUCUUUUACCCGGGAUGAUAAUGACAGUACCGGGAGAAUAAGCGCCGGCUAACUCCGUG